This 1372-nucleotide ribosomal RNA is filed under the name metagenome. RNAcentral describes it as "bacterial LSU rRNA". It matches the Rfam family "Bacterial large subunit ribosomal RNA", at positions 1559 to 2925 of the family's 2925-position model. The record is from RNAcentral.
AGGCGCGAAUGGGAGAGCGCAAGCUCAUGAACUGCCCCUAAUCAUGCUGCCAGGAAAAGCCUCUAAGCGAGAUGUUAGCUGUCCGUACCGUAAACCGACUCAGGUAGAUGGGGUGAGUAUCCUCAGGUGAUCGAUAGAACCGUGGUUAAGGAACUCGGCAAAUUAACUCCGUAACUUCGGGAGAAGGAGUGCCUUUGGGGGAAAUGGACUUCGCGUCCGGCUUUCCCGGGGGCCGCAGUGACCAGGCCCAAGCGACUGUUUACCAAAAACAUAGCACUCUGCGAAGUCGUAAGACGCUGUAUAGGGUGUGACACCUGCCCGGUGCUGGAAGGUUAAGGGAAGAGGUCAAGUCUUCGGACGGCAGCUUUGAACCGAAGCCCCAGUAAACGGCGGCCGUAACGAUAACGGUCCUAAGGUAGCGAAAUUCCUUGUCGGGUAAGUUCCGACCUGCACGAAUGGUGUAACGAUUUGGGCGCUGUCUCAACCACGGAAUCGGCGAAAUUGCAAUGUCGGUGAAGAUGCCGGCUACCCGCGACAGGACGGAAAGACCCCAUGGACCUUUACUAUAACCUGAUAUUGUGUUUUACCCUAGCAUGUGUAGGAUAGGUGGGAGACGGUGAUCCGGCCACGCCAGUGGUCGGGGAGUCAACCUUGAAAUACCACCCUUGCUUUGGUGAAAUUCUAACCGCGGUGUGUGAAUCCACAUCCGGGACAGUGUCAGGCGGGUAGUUUGACUGGGGCGGUCGCCUCCUAAAAUGUAACGGAGGCUCGCAAAGGUUCCCUCAGCACGGUCGGCAAUCGUGCGAAGAGUGUAAAAGCAUAAGGGAGCUUGACUGCAAGACUUACACGUCGCGCAGGUGCGAAAGCAGGCUUUAGUGAUCCGGCGGUUAUGCGUGGAAAUGCCGUCGCUCAAAGGAUAAAAGGUAUCCUGGGGAUAACAGGCUUAUCGCUUCCAAGAGUUCACAUCGACGAAGCGGUUUGGCACCUCGAUGUCGGCUCGUCGCAUCCUGGGGCUGUAGAAGGUCCCAAGGGUUUGGCUGUUCGCCAAUUAAAGCGGCACGUGAGCUGGGUUCAGAACGUCGUGAGACAGUUCGGUCCCUAUCCGUCGCGGGCGUAUGAGAAUUGAGUAGAGCUGCACCAAGUACGAGAGGACCGGUGCGGACGAAGCUCUGGUGCACCAGUUGUCAUUCCAAUGGCACGGCUGGGUAGCCACCUUCGGAAAGGAUAAGCGCUGAAAGCAUCUAAGUGCGAAACCAACUACAAGAUCAGUUCUCACUUCAGGCCCGUCAGAGAUGAUGACGUUGAUAGGCGACAGGUGUAAGCACAGUAAUGUGUUCAGCCGAGUCGUACUAAUCGGCCGUGUGACUUGAUU